Molecule: ribosomal RNA, 788 nt
Filed under: uncultured Lasiosphaeriaceae
Lineage: Eukaryota; Fungi; Ascomycota; Sordariomycetes; Sordariales; Lasiosphaeriaceae
Description: eukaryotic LSU rRNA
Rfam family: Eukaryotic large subunit ribosomal RNA (bases 215-788)
Source: RNAcentral
AAUCUUUGAACGCACAUUGCGCCCGCCAGUAUUCUGGCGGGCAUGCCUGUUCGAGCGUCAUUUCAACCAUCAAGCCCCAGGCUUGUGUUGGGGGCCUGCAGCUGCUGCAGCCCCCUAAAAGCAGUGGCGGACUCGCUGUCAUACCGAGCGCAGUAGUUACAUCUCGCUCUGGUCGUGGCGGCGGGCACCUGCCGUAAAACACUCUUUCUAAGGUUGACCUCGGAUCAGGUAGGAAUACCCGCUGAACUUAAGCAUAUCAAUAAGCGGAGGAAAAGAAACCAACAGGGAUUGCCCUAGUAACGGCGAGUGAAGCGGCAACAGCUCAAAUUUGAAAUCUGGCUUCGGCCCGAGUUGUAAUUUGUAGAGGAAGCUUCUGGCGCGGUGCCAUCCGAGUCCCCUGGAACGGGGCGCCAUAGAGGGUGAGAGCCCCGUAUGGAUGGAUGCCUAGCCUGUGUGAAGCUCCUUCGACGAGUCGAGUAGUUUGGGAAUGCUGCUCAAAAUGGGAGGUAAAUUCCUUCUAAAGCUAAAUAUUGGCCAGAGACCGAUAGCGCACAAGUAGAGUGAUCGAAAGAUGAAAAGCACUUUGAAAAGAGGGUUAAACAGCACGUGAAAUUGUUGAAAGGGAAGCGCUUGUGACCAGACUUGCGCCAGGCUGAUCAUCCGGUGUUCUCACCGGUGCACUCUGCCUGGCACAGGCCAGCAUCAGUUUUGGUGGGGGGAUAAAGGGCGCAGGAACGUAGCUCCUCCGGGAGUGUUAUAGCCUGCGUCGUAAUGCCCUCGCCGGGACU